RNAcentral lists this transfer RNA (65 nucleotides) under Tenomerga trabecula. RNAcentral describes it as "tRNA-Pro". The record is from RNAcentral. Lineage: Eukaryota; Metazoa; Arthropoda; Insecta; Coleoptera; Cupedidae.
CAGAGAAUAGUUUAUUUAUAAAAAUUUUAAUUUUGGGGAUUAAGGAUGAAAAUUUUCUUCUCUGA